CCCUUAGACGUUCUGGGCCGCACGCGCGCUACACUGACGAAGGCAACGAGCUUUCCUUUACCGAAAGGUACGGGUAAUCUUUUGAAACUUCGUCGUGCUGGGGAUAGAUCCUUGCAAUUUUUGAUCUUAAACGAGGAAUGCCUAGUAAGCGCAAGUCAUCAACUUGCGUUGAUUACGUCCCUGCCCUUUGUACACACCGCCCGUCGCUACUACCGAUUGAAUGGUUUAGUGCGGCCUUCGGAUCCGCGACUCGUUUGUGGAGAAGUUGGACAAACUCAGUCAUUUAGAGGAAGUAAAAGUCGUAACA
This 307-nucleotide ribosomal RNA is filed under the name uncultured eukaryote. RNAcentral describes it as "partial 18S ribosomal RNA". It matches the Rfam family "Eukaryotic small subunit ribosomal RNA", at positions 1470 to 1796 of the family's 1831-position model. The record is from RNAcentral.